Molecule: ribosomal RNA, 253 nt
Filed under: uncultured bacterium
Lineage: Bacteria
Description: partial 16S ribosomal RNA
Rfam family: Bacterial small subunit ribosomal RNA
Source: RNAcentral
UACAGAAGGUGCGAACGUUAAUCGGAAUUACUGGGCGUAAAGCGCACGUAGGUGGCGACGUAAGUCGGGUGUGAAAGCUCCGGGCUCAACCUGGGAAUUGCAUUCGAUACUGCAUUGCUGGAGUACGGAAGAGGAGGGCGGAAUUCCCGGUGUAGCGGUGAAAUGCGUAGAUAUCGGGAGGAACAUCAGUGGCGUAGGAGGCCCUCUGGUCCAGUACUGACACUCAAGUGCGAAAGCGUGGGGAGCAAACAGG